This 847-nucleotide long non-coding RNA is filed under the name Homo sapiens (human). Its description in RNAcentral is "HSALNT0397957". Lineage: Eukaryota; Metazoa; Chordata; Mammalia; Primates; Hominidae. The record is from RNAcentral.
GAGACUGCUAUCAGCUUCUGGAGGAGCCUUUACUAAAAUGAAUGAUGAGAGUAACUGGAUGAUGAGAGUAACUAAUGGAUGAUGAGAGUAAGCAAUGUCUUUGGUUUUCUUUUUUUUUUUUUUUUUUUUUAGCAGACGUGGGGUUUCACCAUGUUGGCCAGGCUGGUCUUGAACUCCUGACCUCAGGUGAUCCAUCAGCCUCGGCCUCCCAAAGUGCUGGCCUUACAGGCUUGAACCACUGCUCCCGGCCUAUGCCUGCAUUUUAAAAAUAAGAUAGAGAAAAGAAAAUGUCCUUAAGAAAAUCAUAAGGAAGAGGAAGUAUAUUUUCCAUUCAUUGAGUGGAAGUGGCUUAUCAUAAAGGUCUUCAUGUUGAGUAGGCUGAGGAGGAGGAAGAAAAGGUGUUGGUCUUGCUGUCUCAGGGCAGAGGUGGAAGAAAAAUUCACCUGUAAGUGGUGAAUUUUGUAAGAGGACCCAUGUAGUUCAAACCCAUGUCCAAGGGUCAGUCUAUAUAUAGUUGACCCUGAAUAUAUAUACAGAGAGAGAGAGAGAUGAUUUUGUAGAUUUUGAAAAAAGUCCUAAGAGAGGCCAGGUAUGGUAGCUCACACCCGUAAUCCCAGCACUUUGGGAGGCUGAGGCAGGUGGAUCACUUGAGGUCAGGAGUUGGAGACCAGCCUGGCCAACAUGGUGAAACCCUGUCUGUACUAAAAAUACAAAAAUCAGGCCAGCUGUCGUGGCUCACACCUGUAAUCCCAGCACUUUGGGAGGCCAAGGUGGGUGGACCACCUGAGGUCAGGAGUUCGAGACCAGUCUGGCCAACGUGGUGAAACCUCCUCUCUACUAAAAAUUC